Molecule: unclassified non-coding RNA, 336 nt
Filed under: soil metagenome
Description: partial contains 5.8S ribosomal RNA, internal transcribed spacer 2, and large subunit ribosomal RNA
Rfam family: 5.8S ribosomal RNA (bases 1-120)
Source: RNAcentral
GAUGAAGAACGUAGCGAAAUGCGAUAAGUAAUGUGAAUUGCAGAAUUCAGUGAAUCAUCGAAUCUUUGAACGCACAUUGCGCCCGCCAGUAUUCUGGCGGGCAUGCCUGUUCGAGCGUCAUUUCAACCAUCAAGCCCCCGGCUUGUGUUGGGGACCUGCGGCUGCCGCAGGCCCUGAAAAGCAGUGGCGGGCUCGCUGUCACACCGAGCGUAGUAGAUUUCAUCUCGCUCAGGGCGUGCUGCGGGUUCCGGCCGUUAAACCACCUUCAUAACCCAAGGUUGACCUCGGAUCGGGUAGGAAGACCCGCUGAACUUAAGCAUAUCAAUAAGCGGAGGA